UACGGAGGGAGCUAGCGUUAUUCGGAAUUACUGGGCGUAAAGCGUACGUAGGCGGCUUUGUAAGUUAGAGGUGAAAGCCUGGAGCUCAACUCCAGAACUGCCUUUAAAACUGCAUCGCUUGAAUCCAGGAGAGGUGAGUGGAAUUCCGAGUGUAGAGGUGAAAUUCGUAGAUAUUCGGAGGAACACCAGUGGCGAAGGCGGCUCACUGGUCCAGUACUGACGCUGAGGUGCGAAAGCGUGGGGAGCAAACAGG
This 253-nucleotide ribosomal RNA is filed under the name uncultured bacterium. RNAcentral describes it as "partial 16S ribosomal RNA". It matches the Rfam family "Bacterial small subunit ribosomal RNA", at positions 524 to 776 of the family's 1533-position model. The record is from RNAcentral.